AACGAACGCUGGCGGCAUGCCUAACACAUGCAAGUCGAACGAGACCUUCGGGUCUAGUGGCGCACGGGUGCGUAACGCGUGGGAACCUGCCCUUAGGUUCGGAAUAACUCCCCGAAAGGGGUGCUAAUACCGGAUAAUGUCUUCGGACCAAAGAUUUAUCGCCCUUGGAUGGGCCCGCGUUGGAUUAGCUGGUUGGUAGGGUAAAAGCCUACCAAGGCGACGAUCCAUAGCUGGUCUGAGAGGAUGAUCAGCCACACUGGGACUGAGACACGGCCCAGACUCCUACGGGAGGCAGCAGUGGGGAAUAUUGGACAAUGGGCGAAAGCCUGAUCCAGCAAUGCCGCGUGAGUGAUGAAGGCCUUAGGGUUGUAAAGCUCUUUUACCCGGGAUGAUAAUGACAGUACCGGGAGAAUAAGCUCCGGCUAACUCCGUG
This 433-nucleotide ribosomal RNA is filed under the name uncultured bacterium. RNAcentral's name for it is "partial 16S ribosomal RNA". It matches the Rfam family "Bacterial small subunit ribosomal RNA", at positions 29 to 507 of the family's 1533-position model. The record is from RNAcentral.